Long non-coding RNA from Harpia harpyja (harpy eagle), 4714 nucleotides. RefSeq lists it as uncharacterized. The record is from RefSeq and is a predicted model, not a curated record. The transcript is spliced from 6 exons. Lineage: Eukaryota; Metazoa; Chordata; Aves; Accipitriformes; Accipitridae.
GCCGGGCUGCCCGCCCCGUGUGGGUGCUGCGGCUGGGAGAGGCAUCGGUGGAGGGAGCGCUCGGGCGCCGCGGCCCGCCCGGUGCGGCCUUGGGAGAGGGGGCUGCUGUCCUUGCGCCCAUAAAACGUUUCGGCGUACUGGUAUCGAAUAACCCGGUUUCGUCGAUACAGCUGCUUGAGGCUGCAGGGUCGCUGUGUGAGUAAAGGCUUGUACAGGGCCAGGCAUGGCUGGAAUAGGAAUAAAGAUGUAUUUUCUUGAGCUAUCCUAUGAACCGAGUGGAAUUGCUCCCCUGUGUGUGGCAUUGCUGGUUUUAUACUCGCAGUAAUGUUUUUUUAGGACCUGACUAGUAUGUGGGACUGACAGCUUAGUGCAACGGGAAUUUUUCCCAUGGAUUUGAGAGGGCACAUGCUUAGACCUUUGUUCUUUCUAAAGUAGAAGCACAUUUUCUUUCCUAACAAAAAAAAAAUUCAGAGUAGUAAGGAGAAGGGUUAUGUAAAGCCAGAUGUUGAAAGGUACUGCGUAGCACCAACUGACAGUUCAGACUUUGAUUUUCUUGGUGCUGAUGUUGGCACCAGAUACAUUAAAAUGAUUUUCUAUUUUCUCAGCUGCCUCGACAUCAGCUGUAUCAUCAACAUCAUCAACAUCAGCUGUGACAUCAACAGUGGGACAGUACAACAAAGCAACUAGCACAAUAGCGAGAGACUUUAGCAAGCAAAUAAAAUGACAAUUUUCUCAAUCAAACACAGGAUGCUGUGAAACUGCUGAAGCUCUGCAAGAAUGGAAGACCUCUGAGCUGGGCUCUCUUCUGCCAUCAGCUGGAGGACAGGAUCCCUGAUGAGACAGGAGACCUGAGCCGCUGGAGAUAGGAGUGAGGGAAGGAGUCUGUCAUUAUUUGCAGGAGAGAUCUGUGGCUGAGGGAGAAAGGCACUACCAUCUUAGGGGCUGUGCAGUGACUCUCCUGGGUAUAUGAAGGAGGGCAAGGGUAACUACAGAACAAGAAGCUGCUGUGCUGAAAUUGCUUCAGGCUACCUCCUGGAAGGGUCUGCAGAGGAGUGUCUGACAUUCUCAUCCCUUCUGGGCAAUACUCUGGUUGCUUCUGCAAGAGCAAGAAGUGUUUACAGAGGGCUACAGCACCCCAAGUUUUCUACUCACUGACUCACAGAAGUGCUAGUCUGUACAAGCCUUGCUGGUUGCAAAUUUUCAAAUACUGUUUCAGUGAAAAUCAGGUAAAAGGGAGUUAAAUGAAUUGCCAGUUCCUGAAGCAUUAAUUAAUAAAAGACUGGAAGAACUCCAAACACUUUUUAGUGAUGAGGCCUUGUCUUCUUCACUAAGAGGAAGUUGUGAAGGCAGUACUUGCAUAGUUGUGCAUAUAUGGGUUUAUCUUACCUCAAGGUGACUAUGGCUGUGUCUACAUUAGUGAGUAGCACAGCGUAAUAGAAAUUGAUUUGUAGAACCAGACAGUGCUGAAGAGCCAGUGCUUUUUUAAGGUGGUCAGUUCGGACUGACUCUAGUCAGGUCCGAUGGACUGACCGCCCUUUAGCAGCUGAAGCACCCAAGAUGAGUUUAACAAGCACAUCUUCCAAUUUUGUUUUGUCCAAAAGAAAUCCAGUCCAUGUGCUCGGAGGCUGUUCUGUGACAUGAACCCAAGUGCUCAACAUGGGAGCUAUUGGGAGACUGUCAGAAAAGCGCCUUCCUGAUUUUAACAUGAAUGCUAAUGUAGGCACCCUACCUCAAGUGCCAGCUACACUGAGGUAAAAUCAUAGUGCAAGAUUGAUACUUUCAUUUUCUUACAAGGCAUGUUCAUUGAGGUCAUCACAGGAACAUUGGGUGUAAUUGCUAUUUGUGAUUUAAUGUCAAAGGCUUCGUUGUCAUCUAUUUUCCCAUCUUUCAGCCCAGAUGAAAUAUUCUUUAAAGAUGUAUUAAAGGGUUUCUACUUUGUACCUUUGUAUCUUCUUAUUUUAUUCCACUUUGUAAAGCCUAAGGCUUAGUCCACUUGUAAUUUCAUGAGGCUUUCAGUGGUUUAGAUCAGGCUCAUAGGUUCUAUGCCAUACAACAAAAGCAUUUUCAGAACUCUUCGGGGUAAUUUUCUCUUUUGUAUCCUCUUUUAUAUUUCUUAUUUGACUUUCAGAGAUUGUUACAUGCAUGAAAGCAUCUGCUGGCAUUGUUCCUGACUAUGAUGACAGGUUGGGUCAUUAUCAAGGGUUCUUGGAAGUCAAGGAAGAUGUUGGAGCUAUUUAUGAAAAACUGCAUACUCAUUUCCAACUACAUUGAUGAGACUACCAGAAGAAAGUGGUUAAGUUCCACAAUUUGUUGACUGAAGCUGAAGGAGCAGCUUUUAGCUGUGGAGGUAUUUUCAGUUUCAUGUGUGCCUGUAAGUCAAGUGGAAAACUUGUCCUUUAGUAGAUUCUGUGCAAGAAAUCUUUUAUGAACACUGAUCACUAGUAUGAACACUGUUGUGGCUGCCCUGGUGCUACAGUAGUGGUACCUCUUGAUGGAGGCAUAAAUACCAUCUUCCAGGAUAAUAUUUAGUUAUAUAUAGCACAGUUGUAUUGCAUAAAGUGCUGACAAUUGUUGCAGGAACAGGGAGGUCAUCCACAUGAAGGACUGAUCUAAAAAGAAAAAUUUCUAAAACUCGUGGCUAGUUUAAAAGCAGUUCAGUUAACCUGUUUUUAAAAAUAGCCAGAGCUGGAGCCACAGUUGCUGAAAAUGUUAUACUGUAGGUCUGCCACUGACUGUCAUUACAAGAGGUGUAGCCAUCACACCAGUAAUGCUAUCUCUUUUUAGCCUAAGUAGAGACAAAGCAUAAGUGUGUUGUGGAUUCAGUACCACAUAAACAGGAAUAGCAAAGUUCAAGUAAAAUAGAUCUUUAAAAAAUGCAACUGAUAGUAGUAGAAGAGUUUUGUUGAAAGUUUUUGUUUUUCUUCAAAGAUUUACCAAGAUUGGAGCCAAAAGACUUUGGACAAACUGAUGCACGAGGCUAAGAACAGAGAGCAGUGGGGAGGGAAAAAAAAAGAGGAUACUGAAGGAUAAGAUACCCAAGGAGAAAAACUAAAUUACGGGAAUGGACAUGCUUUAGAGCAGAACAGAAAGGAGGGAGCUUGGCAAGAGGAUAUGAAAGAGAACAGGACUACUGAAAGGACAUCCACAUGGAAAAUAGUCACCCAACAUAAGAGGUAUGUCGCAGUUCAUGUAUGAGUAAAUACAGACAUUACAGAUUGGAACCAAUUGGUGCCAUAGUGAGUAUAGCUCUUCAUUUGUGGAAAUGCUGGCCUAGAAUAUCUUUACUAGACUUCUCUGUUGGCUUUAUCUUCAACUGCUAAGAAAUUUGUGUCACACCAGCUAUACCUUAAUCAAGAGAUCUGAUUUAAAACCCAAAAUGGCCAUAAUGGAGGGAGGAGUGGGUGUAUGUGUGUGGUUCCUUAACUGUGUGUAGUUGACUGUGUCCCAUGAUUGUGUCUUGUGGUUUUUAUUACAGAGAGCUGAAGCAUGAUCCAGUAGAUAAGACAGAUCAGGAAGAGCUUAAGGCUUUUCAGGGUGGCUGUAACUUUUUUAAAGGUGGCCACUUACUGCAUAGAAACCUUCAGAGCUUCUGCUCCAUGGGCAGGGGGAGAAUGUUAAUACCCAGGACUAUUAACUUGAGUUUCAGAUUUAAUGUCAGUUUUGCCUCAGUUAGUGUCUUUAAACUUUGGCCAUUCAGUGGUGUUGAUAGGUCAUCUGCUGUGGAUGUUACUGGGAGAUCCAAGUGCAAACAGAAAUACCUGGGUUGUGAGGCUGUGCUGGCUAGCCAGUGCACCAAGCCUGCAUUAGAGAAACAAACUUUUUUUUCAGUUCAUUGCAGUUCUUCCUUUCCUGAGGAUGGGUGUGUGGGGCCACCUGAUAAGAAGCACACUAAAAGCUGCUAGUGUUAUGGAGAUGGUGUUCAAAACUUUUUGUACUUUCACCAUUGGUACUAGAAGCCAGCUGGGUCAAGUGGCACAGACCAGACUGCUCUUGUUUCCUGAAGGCAUUUUCAUUUGUAGGAAUCAUUAGUGCAACUUUACACUUAUUAAUUCAAGCAAUGAAAACUUGACUGGUUUUGUAGCUACUUACAUUAACAAUGUAUUCCAGUUAUUUCCUUCCUGGGGAGUGAAAGGGACUUUGAGGGUGACAAAAGCUUAUUAGGUCACCCCAGGAACACAUUUCUGCAAUUGUUUGGCAGUUCUUGAAAAUCUGAGUCAUGCCCUUUCCCGAUUCAAAGUUUCACUGGUGAGCUCCCUCUCGCUACUUGUCACUUUCCCACCCCAACAUGUACCCAUGCCUGUUUGCACACCACAAAAUGUUUCUCAUGUUAUCACAAGUGACCUAUCCCUGCAACUGUUACAAUACUAUAAACAGUUGAGGUCUAUUUUUGAACAAAACUCUUAACUAAAUACUGAGCUUGCCUGCCUUGGUUUUUGGGGGUUUUGUUGUUUGUUUUUUAGUGAUUACAUUCAUAUGAGCCAACUAAAAUGAAUUUUAAACCAAGAUGCUGCAAAUCCACCUGUAAUUUUGUAGGAAAACUUACAGCAGUAAUUACAAAUGAGCAAAUUUACAAUAUCAAGAUUUGUGUGUAGGCAACUGAAGAAUAGGACAAACAGAUAAACUUAUCAAACAUACUUCAUUAGUCUACAAAUGUGCUAUUAUUUCUAAUAAUUAGGUUUGGGUCUUUUGCUUUUUACAAAAUAAAUUAUUGGCA